UGAGGCAGGAGAAUUGCUUGAACCCAGGAGGUGAAGGUUGCAGUGAGCCGAGAUUGUGCCACUGCACUCCAGCCUGGGUGACAGAGCAAGACUCCAUCUCA
RNAcentral lists this microRNA precursor (101 nucleotides) under Aotus nancymaae (Ma's night monkey). Its description in RNAcentral is "miRNA (ENSANAG00000010265.1)". Lineage: Eukaryota; Metazoa; Chordata; Mammalia; Primates; Aotidae. The record is from RNAcentral.